AUUGAACGCUGGCGGCAGGCCUAACACAUGCAAGUCGAACGGAAACAGGAAGAAGUUUGCUUCUUUGCUGACGAGGGGCGGGUGGGUGAGACAUGUGUGGGAAACUCCUUGAUGGAGGGGGAUAACUAGUGGAAACGGUAGCUAAUACCGCAUAACGUCGCAAGCACAAAGAGGGGGAGCUACGGGCCUCUUGCCAGCGGAUGCUCCCGGAUGGGAUUCGCGAGUAGGUGGGGUAAGGGUUCACCGAGUCGAAGAUCCGUAGCUGGUCUGAGAGGAGGACCGGCCACACUGGAACUGAGACACGGUCCAGACUCCUACGGGAGGCAGCAGUGGGGAAUAUUGCACAAUGGGCGCAAGCCUGAUGCAGCCAUGCCGCGUGUAUGAAGAAGGCCUUCGGGUUGUAAAGUACUUUCAGCGGGGAGGAAGGGAGUUAGGUUAAUACCUUUGCUCAUUGACGUUACCCGCAGAAGAAGCACCGGCUAACUACGUG
RNAcentral lists this ribosomal RNA (490 nucleotides) under uncultured bacterium. RNAcentral's name for it is "partial 16S ribosomal RNA". It matches the Rfam family "Bacterial small subunit ribosomal RNA", at positions 30 to 507 of the family's 1533-position model. The record is from RNAcentral.